AGCAGCCGCGGUAAUUCCAGCUCCAAUAGCGUAUAUUAAAGUUGUUGCAGUUAAAAAGCUCGUAGUUGAAUUUCGGGAUUAGUACGUUGGUCGUGCCUUCGGUACGUACUGGUGUUACUGAUUCCUACCUUCUGACGAACCAUCAUGUCAUUAAUUUGGUGUGGCGGGGAAUCAGGACUGUUACUUUGAAAAAAUUAGAGUGUUUAAAGCAGGCUCGCGCUUGAAUACAUUAGCAUGGAAUAAUGAAAUAGGACGUUGACCCUAUUUUGUUGGUUUCUAGGAUUGACGUAAUGAAUUAAUAGGGAUAGUUGGGGGCAUUAGUAUUCAAUUGUCAGAGGUGAAAUUCUUGGAUUUAUUGAAGACUAACUACUGCGAAAGCAUUUGCCAAGGAUGUUUUCAUUAAUCAAGAACGAAAGGUUAGGGAUCGAAGACGAUCAGAUACCGUCGUAGUCUUAACCAUAAACUAUGCCGACUAGGGAUCGGGAUGAUUAGUUUAUUUUUAAUGUACUCAUUCGGCGUC
Molecule: ribosomal RNA, 520 nt
Filed under: uncultured Glomus
Lineage: Eukaryota; Fungi; Glomeromycota; Glomeromycetes; Glomerales; Glomeraceae
Description: SSU rRNA
Rfam family: Eukaryotic small subunit ribosomal RNA
Source: RNAcentral